GAGGCCUACAGUGUGCAGGGCAUUGCGCGCAGGCCUACAAUGCGCAAGGCAUUGUGGGCAGGCCUACCAUGCGCAAUCCCGUUUGUGCAAGCCUCCAGUUCACAAUCCUGUGCGCGCAGGCUUACUGUGCGGACAGCACGUGCACAAGGCGCACAAAGCCGCACCCGUCUACGAGUGAAUGGACUCACGCGCAGACCAUGCGUUGCACCUCACAUGGACGAGAUGUGAGAACAGUGGGCAUGUCCUGCAUUAGCUGCACGCAAGCUAAUGCGUGUGGCUUGCUGAGCU
Molecule: long non-coding RNA, 288 nt
Filed under: Carica papaya (papaya)
Lineage: Eukaryota; Viridiplantae; Streptophyta; Magnoliopsida; Brassicales; Caricaceae
Description: long non-coding RNA (CPAP_LNC006793)
Source: RNAcentral